RNAcentral lists this ribosomal RNA (964 nucleotides) under Microporus sp. (in: basidiomycete fungi). RNAcentral's name for it is "Microporus sp. (in: Fungi) partial large subunit ribosomal RNA". It matches the Rfam family "Eukaryotic large subunit ribosomal RNA", at positions 31 to 983 of the family's 3401-position model. Lineage: Eukaryota; Fungi; Basidiomycota; Agaricomycetes; Polyporales; Polyporaceae. The record is from RNAcentral.
GACUUAAGCAUAUCAAUAAGCGGAGGAAAAGAAACUAACAAGGAUUCCCCUAGUAACUGCGAGUGAAGCGGGAAAAGCUCAAAUUUAAAAUCUGGCGGUCUUUGGCCGUCCGAGUUGUAGUCUGGAGAAGUGCUUUCCGCGCUGGACCGUGUAUAAGUCUCUUGGAACAGAGCGUCAUAGAGGGUGAGAAUCCCGUCUUUGACACGGACUACCAGUGCUUUGUGAUGCGCUCUCAAAGAGUCGAGUUGUUUGGGAAUGCAGCUCAAAAUGGGUGGUAAAUUCCAUCUAAAGCUAAAUAUUGGCGAGAGACCGAUAGCGAACAAGUACCGUGAGGGAAAGAUGAAAAGCACUUUGGAAAGAGAGUUAAACAGUACGUGAAAUUGCUGAAAGGGAAACGCUUGAAGUCAGUCGCGUCUGCCGGAACUCAGCCUUGCUUUUGCUUGGUGCACUUUCCGGUUGACGGGCCAGCAUCGAUUUUGACCGUCGGAAAAGGGCUAGGGAAAUGUGGCACCUUCGGGUGUGUUAUAGUCUCUAGUCGCAUACGGCGGUUGGGAUCGAGGACCGCAGCGCGCCGCAAGGCAGGGGUUCGCCCACUUUCGCGCUUAGGAUGCUGGCAUAAUGGCUUUAAACGACCCGUCUUGAAACACGGACCAAGGAGUCUAACAAACCUGCGAGUGUUUGGGUGGUAAACCCGAGCGCGUAAUGAAAGUGAAAGUUGAGACCUCUGUCGUGGAGGGCAUCGACGCCCGGACCUGACGUUCUCUGAAGGAUCCGCGGUAGAGCAUGUUUGUUGGGACCCGAAAGAUGGUGAACUAUGCCUGAAUAGGGUGAAGCCAGAGGAAACUCUGGUGGAGGCUCGUAGCGAUUCUGACGUGCAAAUCGAUCGUCAAAUUUGGGUAUAGGGGCGAAAGACUAAUCGAACCAUCUAGUAGCUGGUUCCUGCCGAGCUUCCCCCUCGGAAGUU